AGAACGGAACGCUGGCGGCAUGCCUAAUACAUGCAAGUCGAACGAACUCUUCGGAGUUAGUGGCGCACGGGUGCGUAACGCGUGGGAAUCUGCCCCUUGGUUCGGAAUAACAGUUGGAAACGACUGCUAAUACCGGAUGAUGACGAAAGUCCAAAGAUUUAUCGCCAAGGGAUGAGCCCGCGUAGGAUUAGCUAGUUGGUGAGGUAAAGGCUCACCAAGGCAACGAUCCUUAGCUGGUCUGAGAGGAUGAUCAGCCACACUGGGACUGAGACACGGCCCAGACUCCUACGGGAGCAGCAGUAGGGAAUAGUUGGACAAUGGG
This 322-nucleotide ribosomal RNA is filed under the name uncultured soil bacterium. RNAcentral describes it as "bacterial SSU rRNA". It matches the Rfam family "Bacterial small subunit ribosomal RNA", at positions 31 to 375 of the family's 1533-position model. The record is from RNAcentral.